This is a long non-coding RNA of Canis lupus familiaris (dog), 1990 nucleotides long. RefSeq lists it as uncharacterized. The record is from RefSeq and is a predicted model, not a curated record. The transcript is spliced from 4 exons. NCBI's taxonomy places the organism in Eukaryota, Metazoa, Chordata, Mammalia, Carnivora, Canidae.
CUUUACACAAGGUAGUGAGAGAAGGUUUUCUGGGAAGGUUACAUCUAAAAAGGACUCAUCUUGAGGGAGUAGGAGGCCAAAGCAACGAGUCUGGGCAAAAGAAAUAACAGGACAGAAAAUAAUUUUCUAAAGAAGCUGAAAUGGGAUCUGAAGGAUAAGUAGCCGUCAACUGCAAGCGAGGGGAAGGAAGAGCAUUCCAGGUAAUGAGAACAGCAUAUGCAAAGGCCUUGAGGAAGAAGGAGGAAGAAGAAAAGGAGGAGGAGGAAGGAGGAGGAGAAAGAAGAAGAAAGAAGAAGAAGGAAGAAGGAAGAAGAAAGCCUGGGAGAGAGCACUACCGCGAGGCUCUGGAGGGGCAGGCGGAGAGAAUCUCAGACUCGUCGCUGAGCCUGGGAGGCUGAUUGCAGGGCUCCAUCUCACCACCUGAGCUGAACCCAAGCGUUGGGCCUUAACCAGCUGGGCCACCCCAGGCGCUCCGCAGACACACAGAGAGAGAGAGGCAGAGGGAGAAGCAGGCUCCAUGCAGGGAACCCGACGUGGGACUCGAUCCCGGGACUCCAGGAUCGCGCCCUGGGCCAAAGGCAGGCACCAGACCGCUGAACCACCCAGGGAUCCCUGGCUUUUGGAUUCUAAUCUAGGAAAGCUAUCCCUUCGGGACACAUAUGUGUCCACAGGAUAAGGAAACACAGGAUAAUAAAACACUUUUAUUCCAUGAAUAAAACAAAAAAGACAACUCAAGUAAAUACUUUGUUUUCAUUGGGAUUAGCUUUUUCAAAAUGUGUCAGAACUCUGCUUUUGGAUAAUCAUAUUCAUUUCUGAGUAAAUACUGACUGUAUCCAUCACUCACUGUACCCCAGGUAGAUGCAGGUAAGCCGACAGUCCUCAGUUUAUUGAUACAGUAAAAUGAGGAUCUUCCCUCUGGGUUUUUUUAAUUCACAGCUGAGGCCUUUUAGUAGAUAUUUCUAGUAGAGUUAAGUAAAAUCAUGUAAUACAUUUAAGUAUUCAAUUAUGGGAAGCCCGCUGACUCCAUGCAGGCUCUGGCUCCAGCUCCAGCUCCAGCCCCGGGGUCCUCCAGCUAACCUCCCCACCCAGCCCUUCCAGCAGAACAGCCAGAUUUCUGAGCACAACAGAAGCUACCAGGAAGCUGGAACUGGCCCAAUAUCACUUCUGCCACAUUCUGUUUGUUAAAGCAAGCCAUGGGUCUGCUGAGAUGCCAAGUGAGGGGAGUACAUACUAGGAGGCAUAGUUCCUGGGGGCCAUCAGCUUAACCAACUAUCACAGUGCCUUGGACAAGUAAGUGACUUUACCUCUUUAGGCCUUAUCUCCUUGUGUUGAAUGAUGAUUAUAAUGUAACCUACUUGAUUAGAUUGUAAUGCAAAUGGAGUGAAACAGCCAAUUCAGAACAAAGCUGGAAAAUGGUCUUAAAAUGAUCUCCUUCAUCUUUAUUUUUUAUUUUUUUAAAGAUGUAUUUAUUUGAGAGAGAUCAUGAGCAAGAGAGGAAGAGAAUCUCAAGCUGGCUCCAAGGGGAGCUGUGCUCCACUCAAGCUGAGUGUGGAGCACAAUGUGGAGCUUGAUUUCGGGUACUUGAGAUCAUGACAAGCCAAAAUCAAGAGUCAGAUGAGAUGCCUGGGUGGCUCAGUGGUUGAGUGUCUGCCUUUGGCACAGGGCUUGAUCCUGGGGUCCUGGGAUUGAGUCCCACAUCAGACUCUGCUCAGUGGUGAGUCUGCUUCUCUCUCUCUGCUCCUUACCCCAUUCAUGCUCUGUCUCUCACUUACUUUCCCUCUGUCUCUCAAAUAAAUAAAAAUCUGUGAAGAAAAAAUAUGUAUAAACUACUGACAUUGAAAAGAGUGGCACAAGGAUUUCCUUAGUUGCUCCCAGCUUCAUAUGUUUUUCUGUUUGAAUGGAAUACUUUACUUUUUUCAAAUUAAAAACAAGUAGUCAUACAUCAAAUGUAACUGUGUCAAUAGUGUACUUGUCUCUGAAUCAUAGUAAU